GGGCCUGCAUGUCCCAAGACAGCUGGAGAUUCAGAUGCUCAAAAGAGGAGAAAAUCCUACAGGAGUUCCAAAGACCAAACCUCUUCCCGGAUGGGAUUUGCACCAUGCCAUGCACCCACUAGAAAGAAUAUGGAAAAAGCUCUGUGAAGAGAAGAGCAUCACCGGAGCAUUCAGAGCCCACACAGGGACCAUGGCCCACCAUGCUCUGAGGGAUGCACGGUUCCCCUGGGCCCUGCUGCCCUGGGCAGUGUUUUUUCUCCAGCUGCACUCACAAACAGCCCAUGCUGGGGUCUGCACAUCUCCCACAGCCCACAGGACAGCUGAGUCCAUCGGUGUAUGCACCUGACCAGCACACGUAGCACCCAGAGAACAUUACUAGGGCUUUGGGAGCACAGAGGCCUCUUUGUCCCUAAUGUUCCUUGCUCUCCUGCACAGCCCUUGGCCCUUCCCAGGACUGCACGCUCUUCUUUUGUCCCUGAGCAGGCAAAGAAGGGUCAUGUCUGCACCAGAAGCCAAAUUCCAGCUGAUCUAACACUUUUGACUUUAAAUUCCCCUAUUUAAAUCUCUGUUAACAAGAACAUGCCCAAAGGAAUCAGCGUGUGGGGAACUUCCUACACUGCCCUCACUUCUUGGAAGCAUUUCAGAGUUGUUUCUGCCAAAGAUUUUGCCUUUUAUGACAG
RNAcentral lists this long non-coding RNA (680 nucleotides) under Anas platyrhynchos (mallard). RNAcentral describes it as "lncRNA (ENSAPLG00020012727.1)". Lineage: Eukaryota; Metazoa; Chordata; Aves; Anseriformes; Anatidae. The record is from RNAcentral.